AACGAACGCUGGCGGCAUGCCUAACACAUGCAAGUCGAACGAGACCUCCGGGUCUAGUGGCGCACGGGUUCGUCACGCGAGGGAACCUGCCCUUAGGUUUGGAAUAACUCUCCGAAAGGGAUGCUAUUACCGGAUAAUGUCUUCGGACCAAGGAUUUAUCGCAUUUGGUUGGGCACGAGUUGGAUUAGCUAGUUGGUAGGGUAAAAGGCUACUAAGGCGACGAUCCAUAGCUGGUCUGUGAGGAGGAUCAGCCACACUGCGACUUAGACACGGCCCAGACUCCUACGCGAUGCAGCAGAGGGGAAUAGUGGACAAUGGGCGGAAGCCUGAUGCUACUAUGCCGGGUAAGUGAUGUAGGCCUUGGGGUUGUAAUGCUCUUUUAACCGGGAUGAUAAUGACAGUACCUGGAGAGUAAGCUCCGGCUAACUCCGUG
Molecule: ribosomal RNA, 433 nt
Filed under: uncultured bacterium
Lineage: Bacteria
Description: partial 16S ribosomal RNA
Rfam family: Bacterial small subunit ribosomal RNA
Source: RNAcentral